UACGGAGGGUGCGAGCGUUGUCCGGAAUCACUGGGCGUAAAGGGCGCGUAGGCGGCGCGGCAAGUCUGUGGUGAAAGCCCGAGGCUCAACUUCGGGUCGGCCAUGGAUACUGCUGCGCUCGAGCACUGUAGAGGCAGGUGGAAUUCCGGGUGUAGCGGUGGAAUGCGUAGAGAUCCGGAGGAACACCAGCGGCGAAGGCGGCAUCCUGGACUGGUCCUGACACUCAGGAGCGAAAGCGUGGGGAGCGAUCCGG
Molecule: ribosomal RNA, 253 nt
Filed under: uncultured bacterium
Lineage: Bacteria
Description: partial 16S ribosomal RNA
Rfam family: Bacterial small subunit ribosomal RNA
Source: RNAcentral